Molecule: transfer RNA, 71 nt
Filed under: Dipodomys ordii (Ord's kangaroo rat)
Lineage: Eukaryota; Metazoa; Chordata; Mammalia; Rodentia; Heteromyidae
Rfam family: tRNA
About the family: Transfer RNA (tRNA) molecules are approximately 80 nucleotides in length. Their secondary structure includes four short double-helical elements and three loops (D, anti-codon, and T loops).
Source: Rfam by way of RNAcentral
GGAAUGUAGCUCAGAGGUAGAGCCUGUGCUUAGUAUGUAUAAGGCCCUGGGUUUUAAUCCCAUCACUUUCG